RNAcentral lists this long non-coding RNA (602 nucleotides) under Zonotrichia albicollis (white-throated sparrow). RNAcentral's name for it is "lncRNA (ENSZALG00000001650.1)". Lineage: Eukaryota; Metazoa; Chordata; Aves; Passeriformes; Passerellidae. The record is from RNAcentral.
ACAAGAAAUUACAUGUCUUAUUUAUCUCCGCUGACAUUACUCCUGCAGGAGCUGGGUGCUGGUGGAAUGUGUUGCACUGGAACAUUUCCCUCUGAUGCUGGGCAGUUUCCUCCCCACUGGAAGUCCUGAAGGGAGGGCCCCAUCUCAGGCUGAGACUGGGAAUCUGCCAGCAGAGCAGCACUAAUUGGAAGAUGACAAAUGUUUGCUGCUGGACCUCUGAUGAUGGUUGUGCUCCUGGAUCCCUGCCGUCUCCUAGGAUGACCAAUUUAUUUAGGCUGACUCAGGCACAGACCCUGCCUUCAUUUCAAAGAUGGUCAAUCAACAGGGAUAUGGCCACAGUUCCAGCAAGCUGGGACAUUGCUGGGAUGGCAUCCUCAGGACUGUGUCUACUCUUUUCCAAGUUCCAGUCCAGAGCUGGAAGAAUUUCCUCAGGGAAGAGGAUAAAUAUUCCACCUUCAGCCUUUCCAGAGCAUUAGUGACACAGCAGUGUGCACACCUGUGGGAUUGGUUACAUCUCUCUGCCAAGGACUGGUUUACAGGAAUUUAAGAAGGGAACUCAGCUCUUCAAAUAAAAUAGCCACCUAAGAGAAUAAAAUUGUUCA